GACGAACGCUGGCGGCGUGCUUAACACAUGCAAGUCGAACGGAAAGGCCCUGCUUUUGUGGGGUGCUCGAGUGGCGAACGGGUGGGUAACACGUGAGUAACCUGCCCUUGACUUUGGGAUAACUUCAGGAAACUGGGGCUAAUACCGGAUAGGAGCUCCUGCUGCAUGGUGGGGGUUGGAAAGUUUCGGCGGUUGGGGAUGGACUCGCGGCUUAUCAGCUUGUUGGUGGGGUAGUGGCUUACCAAGGCUUUGACGGGUAGCCGGCCUGAGAGGGUGACCGGCACCAUGGGGGCAGGGAGACGGGCCAGAGUCCCCCGGGGGGGAAAGGGGGGGGAAAUUUUACACAGGGGGGGAGCCGGUGACGGAAAAGCGCCGUGGGGGGUAAGGCCUUUCGGGUGUUGAAACCCUUUUGCGUGUGACGAAGGGUGGGUGAGGGGAAUGGGUAAAAAAGCACCCGGUAAAUACGU
This 467-nucleotide ribosomal RNA is filed under the name uncultured bacterium. RNAcentral's name for it is "partial 16S ribosomal RNA". It matches the Rfam family "Bacterial small subunit ribosomal RNA", at positions 28 to 506 of the family's 1533-position model. The record is from RNAcentral.